GGUGUUAAGUAACUAUGUCCUCAUCACAGAUAAAAAAAAAGAUAAAAAUUUGCUUGUUAUGGCCUGGUUACUUGAAAAGGCGUAGAGGAAGAUAAACAUUCUGAAUAUUUUAUUUUGAAGAAAUAAUUACUUGAUGCAAAGUGUGAAGGCAUACUUCAUUCAUCCUCCUGAAAGCUGAAUUGUUCGCACAGUUCCAAAAACAGACUGACAAAUUCCAGGACAUACUGCCAAAUUCUAGACCAUGGUACAACCAAGUUGGAUGCAAGCUUGAACGCUACAGAAAGUUCCAAUUGCAGAGAAAAAAACAAAUUAUUUCUAUGUAA
Molecule: long non-coding RNA, 323 nt
Organism: Pipra filicauda (Wire-tailed manakin)
Lineage: Eukaryota; Metazoa; Chordata; Aves; Passeriformes; Pipridae
Exons: 3
Source: RefSeq, a predicted model, not a curated record